RNAcentral lists this transfer RNA (72 nucleotides) under Heterocephalus glaber (naked mole-rat). It matches the Rfam family "tRNA". From Rfam's summary of the family: Transfer RNA (tRNA) molecules are approximately 80 nucleotides in length. Their secondary structure includes four short double-helical elements and three loops (D, anti-codon, and T loops). Further hydrogen bonds mediate the characteristic L-shaped molecular structure. tRNAs have two regions of fundamental functional importance: the anti-codon, which is responsible for specific mRNA codon recognition, and the 3' end, to which the tRNAs corresponding amino acid is attached (by aminoacyl-tRNA synthetases). tRNAs cope with the degeneracy of the genetic code in two manners: having more than one tRNA (with a specific anti-codon) for a particular amino acid; and 'wobble' base-pairing, i.e. permitting non-standard base-pairing at the 3rd anti-codon position. The record is from Rfam by way of RNAcentral. Lineage: Eukaryota; Metazoa; Chordata; Mammalia; Rodentia; Bathyergidae.
GGGGGUGUAGCUCAGUGGUAGAGCACUUGCCUAGUAUGCAUGAGCCCCUGGGGUCAAUCCCUAGUACUGCAA